Molecule: ribosomal RNA, 434 nt
Filed under: Raveniella luteola
Lineage: Eukaryota; Metazoa; Arthropoda; Arachnida; Araneae; Micropholcommatidae
Description: partial 16S ribosomal RNA
Source: RNAcentral
UUCUUAAAGAAUUAAUUUUAAGUAAAAUCUGCUCAAUGAUAUUUAAUAGCCGCAAUUUCUGUGCUAAGGUAGCAUAAUCACUUGUCUUUUAAUUUAAGAAUAGAAUGAAAGAUUUAACAUUUAAAUUUCUUUUUUAAAUUUAUAUUAUUAAAUUAUACUAAAUAUAAAAAUAUAUUUAUAUAUAAAAAAGACAACAAGACCCUAUUGAACUUUACUAAAGUUUAAUUGGGGAAAUUUUUUAAUAAAUAUUUUAAUAUUUUAUUUUUAAAAAAUAACUAAUAAAAUUAAUAUAUAUAAGUUACCAUAGGGAUAACAGCAUAAUUAAUUUUUAAAGUUCUUAUUUAAAAUUUAGUUUAUGACCUCGAUGUUGAAUAUUUUUCUUAUAUAAAGCAAAAAUUUAUAAAGAAAGUCUGUUCGACUUUUAAAUUUUUACA